This 500-nucleotide ribosomal RNA is filed under the name uncultured bacterium. RNAcentral describes it as "partial 16S ribosomal RNA". It matches the Rfam family "Bacterial small subunit ribosomal RNA", at positions 28 to 507 of the family's 1533-position model. The record is from RNAcentral.
GACGAACGCUGGCGGCGUGCUUAACACAUGCAAGUCGAACGGGUCUGCCCUGUUUUUUGCGGGGUGGGUCAGUGGCGAACGGGUGAGUAACACGUGAGUAACCUGCCCCUCACUUCUGGAUAACCGCUUGAAAGGGUGGCUAAUACGGGGUGUUCUGGCUGUGCCGCAUGGUGUGGCUGGGAAAGAUUCACUUUUGUGGUGUUUUGGUGGGGGAUGGGCUCGCGGCCUAUCAGCUUGUUGGUGGGGUGAUGGCCUGCCAAGGCUUUGACGGGUAGCCGGCCUGAGAGGGUGGGCGGUCACACUGGGACUGAGAUACGGCCCAGACUCCUGCGGGAGGCAGCAGUGGGGGGUAUUGCACAAUGGGCGGAAGACUGAUGCAGCGACGUCGCGUGAGGGAUGGAGGCCUUCGGGUUGUGAACCUCUUUCGCCGGUGAAGAAGGUCCUGCUCUUUGUGGUGGGGUUGACGGUAGCCGGGUUAUGAAGCGCCGGCUAACUACGUG